UACGGAGGAUGCGAGCGUUAUUCGGAUUUAUUGGGUUUAAAGGGUGCGUAGGCGGACGCUUAAGUCAGCGGUAAAAUUGCGGGGCUCAACCUCGUCGAGCCGUUGAAACUGGGUGCCUUGAGUGGGCGAGAAGUACGCGGAAUGCGUGGUGUAGCGGUGAAAUGCAUAGAUAUCACGCAGAACUCCGAUUGCGAAGGCAGCGUACCGGCGCCCAACUGACGCUGAAGCACGAAGGCGUGGGUAUCGAACAGG
RNAcentral lists this ribosomal RNA (252 nucleotides) under uncultured bacterium. RNAcentral describes it as "partial 16S ribosomal RNA". It matches the Rfam family "Bacterial small subunit ribosomal RNA", at positions 524 to 776 of the family's 1533-position model. The record is from RNAcentral.